UUUCUUCCAUAAACGAAACUCAAAAACAUUUCUUCCAUUAAUGAGUUUUGAAACUUCAUCCUCUCUUCUCCAAAUUGAACGAGGCAUGAAAAGCAUGGAUUCAACUUAGCAAUAUUAGUUAUUGAUGUGUCAGAUAAAAUGUUCUUAUUUAACGAGUAUAUUUAUUUAUUUUGUUAUUGUUAUUGUUGUUCUUGUUGUUGUCGUCAUUGUUGUUG
Molecule: long non-coding RNA, 215 nt
Filed under: Lathyrus oleraceus (garden pea)
Lineage: Eukaryota; Viridiplantae; Streptophyta; Magnoliopsida; Fabales; Fabaceae
Description: Pisum sativum (pea) long non-coding RNA (PSAT_LNC029641)
Source: RNAcentral